UUCCGGUUGAUCCUGCCGGACCUGACUGCUAUCGGAUUGAUACUAAGCCAUGCGAGUCAUUGUAGCAAUACAAGGCAGACGGCUCAGUAACGCGUAGUCAACCUAACCUAUGGACGGGAAUAACCUCGGGAAACUGAGAAUAAUGCCCGAUAGAACACUAUAUCUGGAAUGGUUUGUGUUCCAAAUGAUUUAUCGCCGUAGGAUGGGACUGCGGCCUAUCAGUUUGUUGGUGAGGUAAUGGCCCACCAAGACUAUUACAGGUACGGGCUCUGAGGGGAGUAGCCCGGAGAUGGGUACUGAGACACGGACCCAGGCCCUAUGGGGCGCAGCAGGCGAGAAAACUUUGCAAUGUGCGAAAGCACGACAAGGUUAAUCCGAGUGGUUUCUGCUAAAGGAACCUUUUGUUGGUCCUAGAAACACCGAUGAAUAAGGGGUGGGCAAGUUCUGGUGUCAGCCGCCGCGGUAAUACCAGC
This 473-nucleotide ribosomal RNA is filed under the name uncultured archaeon. RNAcentral describes it as "bacterial SSU rRNA". It matches the Rfam family "Archaeal small subunit ribosomal RNA", at positions 1 to 480 of the family's 1478-position model. The record is from RNAcentral.